Long non-coding RNA from Pseudophryne corroboree (corroboree frog), 611 nucleotides. RefSeq lists it as uncharacterized. Lineage: Eukaryota; Metazoa; Chordata; Amphibia; Anura; Myobatrachidae. The transcript has 2 exons. The record is from RefSeq and is a predicted model, not a curated record.
CCAGGACACCUCCGCCGGGUUACCUCACUGGCCUUUGCCGUUCACGUGACCGGGAAGUACGUGUACUGCCUGACGGAGCCCUGCGGUUUAGCCCCUUCUCCCCACACGAGAUCGGGGAUUUUUCUGUUAUUAAAUGGGGUUUAAAUAGAUCCCAAACUCAGACUGAGCUUUACUUCUGAUGAAGCUAGGUGACCGAGCCUAGGGAAACGCGUUAAGUGUAAAAGCUGCUACCACUACAAGUGUUCUACCUUCUAAAGGAUCCAGAUAUGGACUUUUAAAACCUGCCUUGGAACUUUCUCUGUGGGAUUUUCAACUUUACAGCACCGAUUGGAGAGACCCAGUUUCUACACAAACGGCACAGCUUGCUUGCUGUCAAUCUUCAAGCCUCUGGAAGUCUCCGUCAUCACGGGUAACACCAGCUGUACUUCUUUCCUCCUCCCCAGGGAACUUUGCACAUUUUCAGUCCGGGAUCCUCUGUGGACACUUAUCAGCAGCCAUUACUAUUUUAUUCUCAGCUCAUUUUAUGCCCCAAGCUUCAUGUGUGUAUAUUUGGAUUAUUAUUCCUUGUUUUUAGUACAUGAUGUUUAGAUAAUAAACCAUAUGUGAUUUUA